GAUGGCGCCAAAGCGCUGCGCUGGAGUUGAAGACGGACAGCCGCGCGCGCGUGGUCGCCUUAACAACGCAGUCGACGCAGAUGGUAACUGACGUAACGCUUAGUUCGCUAGCGCGUCAAGUCAGUCAGUCAGUCAGUCAGCUAUAGCCAAGAUUUAAAAUACAUAUAUAUUUUUUUUAAAUGAUUUGUAGCCUAAACGUUUGUGUUGAAAGUGAGCUGUAGUUUCGUUUUUUGCCUGCCAAAAACGUUUUAAUUCUUUGUUUUACUGCUGCACCUUGCUUAAUAAAGGUGUAUGUAAUGCUAGCUAGCUAACAGCUUGCUAACUGUUAACCGUUUGACCGUCCCUGUUUGUGAGACCUAUUGAAAUGGAUGACCAUGAUUCCCUGGGCAGUAUGGACAGCUUACUUCUUCAGCUAGCUCUGCAAACCAGGGACAUCGCUCAGAAGAGGGAUCAGAUCAAUCAACAGAUUCAAAUCGGCAAAGCCAAUGUUGCUGAGAAGAAAUCCUACGUCAUAGGGAUCCAGAAAAACAUCAGGAAGCUCGAGGAGGAAUCUCAUCAUAAGCAGAACAUUGUGAAGCAUCUCAAAGGCAAUACGAAAAGUCUAAAGGGAACUAACGGCCUCCUGCUGCAGUAUGAGAAGACGCUGCAGGCUGAAUUGGAGAGGAGACGAGACAACUGUAAUCAAGACAUGAAAGUGUACCAGGAGAGAAUAGAGCGCUACAGGAAGGUUUUCCAGCAGCACAAAGAGAGUUACUGCAAGAACCCUCUGGCCAAGCAGCUACUGAUGAUUCAGUCAGGAAAAGAAGAGCUGGAAAGCAGGAUCAAAGCUUGUGAGGACCAGAUAACAGCCAAAGAGAAGGCUCUGCAGGAUCUACUAGGUCAAACAUUGUCCAUCGAAAACCCAUUGGAAAGCAUCUCUGGUCUAUUGACGACAGCAGAGUCUCACAGACAGCCAUCGGCUCAGACUGAGGAUGACCAUCAGUCUCCACUAGACAUCUCCUCCCUCCAUGUUUCCCAGGAUGGCCAUGAGAAACACGGAGAGGGAAUUGAAGAGCAUCUAGAGAAGACCGUUGCUCACCCUCCAUCACAUGAAGACACACACUGUGACCUGUGGUCAUACCCAGAGGCAAUGGAUGGAAUACACGCUUCAGACCAGGAGGAGGGAAGUUUACUAGAGGAACAGAAGGAGUGUCUGAACACCUCCAGUACAGUGGGGAUGGAGGAGGUGAAGGAGAGGGGGAUUGAGGGAGGAGAAGAACAGCCUACACCCCUCAUUACUGAGGCGGAGGAGAAUGAAGGGAUGGGAGCAGCAUUCUCUCCUCAGACUCCUGCUAGAAUGAAAGCUGUGUCCAGCACCCCAACCUUUUCCCUGAACAGUAGCCACAGUGGGUCACCUAGUCAGCUAGACGGAUCCACAGUGAAAUCCCCAGGCUUCCUGUUCUCCAUGAGCUCAGCUCCUAGCCCCACCACCCCCGACUUCUCUGGCUUCCACUGUGGCUUUGAACUGGGCUCAGGCCAGGAGGAAGAGCCUCCUUUCCCCUUCAGCAGCUCAUAUUUCAGCAGUGAAAAGAAACCGUCAGGAUCCAGAUCGCCAUCAGGCUUCCUGUUUGCCCGGCCAGAGUCGGAGAAGUCAGAAGAUGGAUUUGAGUUCCCCUUCAGCUCUAAGAGUCCUGGUCAACCGUCAACCAGCAGAGAGAAGGGAUCAGGGGCUGGGGACUCCUUCCCUUUCUCCUUUAACUUCUAG
Long non-coding RNA from Oncorhynchus mykiss (rainbow trout), 1744 nucleotides. The record is from Ensembl. Lineage: Eukaryota; Metazoa; Chordata; Actinopteri; Salmoniformes; Salmonidae.